This 497-nucleotide ribosomal RNA is filed under the name uncultured bacterium. RNAcentral describes it as "partial 16S ribosomal RNA". It matches the Rfam family "Bacterial small subunit ribosomal RNA", at positions 28 to 507 of the family's 1533-position model. The record is from RNAcentral.
GAUGAACGCUGGCGGCGUGCCUAAUACAUGCAAGUCGAGCGAACGGACGAGAAGCUUGCUUCUCUGAUGUUAGCGGCGGACGGGUGAGUAACACGUGGAUAACCUACCUAUAAGACUGGUAUAACUUCGGGAAACCGGAGCUAAUACCGGAUAAUAUUUUGAACCGCAUGGUUCAAAAGUGAAAGACGGUCUUGCUGUCACUUAUAGAUGGAUCCGCGCUGCAUUAGCUAGUUGGUAAGGUAACGGCUUACCAAGGCAACGAUGCAUAGCCGACCUGAGAGGGUGAUCGGCCACACGGGAACUGAGACACGGUCCAGACUCCUACGGGAGGCAGCAGUAGGGAAUCUUCCGCAAUGGGCGAAAGCAUGACGGAGCAACGCCGCGUGAGAGAUGAAGGUCUUCGGAUCGUAAAACUCUGUUAUUAGGGAAGAACAUAUGUGUAAGUAACUGUGCACAUCUUGACGGUACCUAAUCAGAAAGCAACGGCUAACUACGUG